This is a long non-coding RNA of Micropterus salmoides (largemouth bass), 283 nucleotides long. RefSeq lists it as uncharacterized. Lineage: Eukaryota; Metazoa; Chordata; Actinopteri; Centrarchiformes; Centrarchidae. The transcript is spliced from 2 exons. The record is from RefSeq and is a predicted model, not a curated record.
GGGAGAAGUCAAACCUCCAGACAGGGGAGGUCACAUUGAACAUCUGCCAUAAUAACCUGAGUGUCCCAGUAAGCUGUUACAGUGAGCCAGCAGGAACAAUACAAGGACAUUGAAUCUGAAGCUGCAAAUUGGAAUUUAGCCAUCAUUGAUUUUAUUAUUUACACAUGGGCCUUUCUAACUGUGAUGUGUCAAAAUGUCAUCUGUGAAAUAGUCUUGGAAAAAGGUUGUGCAUGAUGGUCUGAGCAGUGUAUUGCAACAGCAAUAAAGACAUUUUGGGUUUUUU